RNAcentral lists this ribosomal RNA (229 nucleotides) under uncultured bacterium. Its description in RNAcentral is "partial 16S ribosomal RNA". It matches the Rfam family "Bacterial small subunit ribosomal RNA", at positions 568 to 796 of the family's 1533-position model. The record is from RNAcentral.
UCCGUAGGCGGGCGUCUAAGUCAGUGGUGAAAUCUUACAGCUCAACUGUAAAAUUGCCAUUGAUACUGGAUGUCUUGAAUUAGUGUGAAGUGGUUAGAAUGUGUAGUGUAGCGGUGAAAUGCAUAGAUAUUACACAGAAUACCAAUUGCGAAGGCAGAUCACUAACACUAUAUUGACGCUGAGGGACGAAAGCGUGGGGAGCGAACAGGAUUAGGUACCCUGGUAGUCC